AGAGAGAGAGAGAGAGGAGAUCAAACCUGGAGCAGAUGGCGAGUCUUCAAUCGAGCAGUUGAGAGAGACCAGGAAUAUGGAGCGCGCUUCAAUCGUGUUCUGCAGCGCGAGCAUACGGAAGGGAACGCGGGGGCUGGCUAUGCUCAUUUAAAUGAGUCCCGUGUUCCCUCAAACACACAGGAUAAGGCUGACUGUCUUAUGUAAGCAGCCCAGUCCCCUCUUAUCCAGGAAACAAACGUGCGGUAAACUAGUUCAGUCAGUAGUAUGAAUUUGCUUUUAAAAUACUAACCAGGGGAGCAAACCCAAACUUACCCACCUCGUACCCACCCCUUAUCCUCUAAUUACCUUAAUCAUGAUUAACUACAUGGAUUUAUAAAUUAUAUUAUCUUCUAACUCUAAUUCUUUUCUUUUUCCUUUCCCUCUUUUUCUAAACAAAAUACUCAAACCUAACAAAUUUAGAGACACUCAAGAUUAAACAAAUAUAACAUCUAGGUAUGUAUAAAUACCAUAUUCAGCAAGUCGUUUUUUUUUUUCUUUUUUCUUUUGUUCAGCAAGACCAACUUAGUUUUCAUGAAGAAAAAACUUCCCAAGCAGUUCUUUCCAAAGAUAGAAACUAGAACUGGAGACAAGUCAACGAGCACAAAAAAUUACAAUAUAUAACUCCUUUCAUUGCGAGGGAAUUCAAUGAAAAUCAUAACACCAUAAUGAGAGCAAAUAUAGAUCCAAUUGUACUGUUUUUUUUUCUAGAUCGAGUGCCUCCGACAAAAUAUUGAGAGCAAAUACUAACUCCUAGUUUCAACAAUGAAGGCUAUGACAUUGAUGGAUCAAAGUUUAGUUGACGAGCUGAUCCUUCAAGUAUUGGUCGGGCAGUUUCCUGUCAAAUGUACGUAUAUAAGAUAUUGUUAGUGCUUAUUAUUUAGCUAUGAAUUGUGAAAAUAUUAGUUUAACAAGUAUAUCUUAACAAGGAUCAAAAAGUUAGA
Molecule: long non-coding RNA, 980 nt
Filed under: Fragaria vesca (wild strawberry)
Lineage: Eukaryota; Viridiplantae; Streptophyta; Magnoliopsida; Rosales; Rosaceae
Description: long non-coding RNA (FVES_LNC003972)
Source: RNAcentral